Molecule: long non-coding RNA, 479 nt
Filed under: Monodelphis domestica (gray short-tailed opossum)
Lineage: Eukaryota; Metazoa; Chordata; Mammalia; Didelphimorphia; Didelphidae
Description: lncRNA (ENSMODG00000048646.1)
Source: RNAcentral
UUGUUGUUUGCUCAUUUUCUUAGGCUAUUUCUCAAGUUUGAAUUUUAUAUUAAUGUUGGACUCUACUCAGCAUGUGUGUGUGUGUGUGUGUGUGUGUGUGUGUGUGUGUGUGUGUGUGUAUGUGUGUGUAAAGGCAUUUUCCCCAGAUUUAGACUUUUUUUGUGUUUCUAUUUUCAGAGCUAGUUCUGGAAUUCUGAAAGUUUUGGAGGCUUCCAAGGUGGUGCUAUCCUGGAAGAGGUGUGUUCCCUGCUCUUCUUAUCUACAUUCUGGUCUUUACCCAGGAAGUACAUCUACUAUCCUUGCAGAAAUCCUUUGCAGCAUAGAACAUUGCUACAGAGCUACAAGGAAUCCACAAACUUCUGCAGCUUGGAGCAGAGAACUGCAUGGCACUGGAAAAAGGGAGAAGUGAUCAAGAUGUGGGGUUGGAUUUUAUUGCAAACCUGUGAGUAGAGUCCUUUGGUAUGUUCCUGGUCCCUCAU